RNAcentral lists this ribosomal RNA (746 nucleotides) under uncultured Campylobacterota bacterium. RNAcentral describes it as "bacterial SSU rRNA". It matches the Rfam family "Bacterial small subunit ribosomal RNA", at positions 103 to 872 of the family's 1533-position model. The record is from RNAcentral. Lineage: Bacteria; Pseudomonadati; Campylobacterota.
CGGGUGAGUAUACCAUCGAUAAUGUACCUCUUAGUUCGGGAUAGCCACUGGAAACGGUGAUUAAUACCGGAUACUCCUUCUUAUUAUAAGAUAAGUCGGGAAAGUUUUUUCGCUAAGAGAUCAGUCUAUGUCCCAUCAGUUUGUUGGUGAGGUAAUGGCUCACCAAGACUAUGACGGGUAUCUGGUUUGAGAGGAUGAUCAGACACACUGGAACUGAGACACGGUCCAGACUCCUACGGGAGGCAGCAGUGAGGAAUAUUGCACAAUGGAGGAAACUCUGAUGCAGCAACGCCGCGUGGAGGAUGACGCAUUUCGGUGUGUAAACUCCUUUUAAGAGGGAAGAUAAUGACGGUACCUCUUGAAUAAGCACCGGCUAACUCCGUGCCAGCAGCCGCGGUAAUACGGAGGGUGCAAGCGUUACUCGGAAUCACUGGGCGUAAAGGGUGCGUAGGCUGGCUUCUAAGUCAGAUGUGAAAUCCAAUGGCUCAACCAUUGAACUGCAUUUGAAACUGGGAGCCUAGAGUUCAGAAGGGGCAGAUGGAAUUAGUGGUGUAGGGGUAAAAUCCGUAGAUAUCACUAGGAAUAUCAAAAGCGAAGGCGAUCUGCUGGGAUGAUACUGACGCUGAGGCCGAAAGCGUGGGGAGCAAACAGGAUUAUACCCUGGUAGUCCACGCCCUAAACGAUGAAUGCUAGUCGUCGGGGAGCUCGUCUCUUCGGUGAUGCACUUAACAGAUUAAGCAUUCCGC